GUGGGGAGCGAACAGGAUUAGAUACCCUGGUAGUCCACGCCGUAAACGAUGAGUGCUAAGUGUUAGAGGGUUUCCGCCCUUUAGUGCUGCAGCAAACGCAUUAAGCACUCCGCCUGGGGAGUACGGUCGCAAGACUGAAACUCAAAGGAAUUGACGGGGGCCCGCACAAGCGGUGGAGCAUGUGGUUUAAUUCGAAGCAACGCGAAGAACCUUACCAGGUCUUGACAUCCUCUGACAACCCUAGAGAUAGGGCUUCCCCUUCGGGGGCAGAGUGACAGGUGGUGCAUGGUUGUCGUCAGCUCGUGUCGUGAGAUGUUGGGUUAAGUCCCGCAACGAGCGCAACCCUUGAUCUUAGUUGCCAGCAUUCAGUUGGGCACUCUAAGGUGACUGCCGGUGACAAACCGGAGGAAGGUGGGGAUGACGUCAAAUCAUCAUGCCCCUUAUGACCUGGGCUACACACGUGCUACAAUGGGCAGAACAAAGGGCAGCGAAGCCGCGAGGCUAAGCCAAUCCCACAAAUCUGUUCUCAGUUCGGAUCGCAGUCUGCAACUCGACUGCGUGAAGCUGGAAUCGCUAGUAAUCGCGGAUCAGCAUGC
RNAcentral lists this ribosomal RNA (596 nucleotides) under Bacillus sp. (in: firmicutes). RNAcentral describes it as "bacterial SSU rRNA". It matches the Rfam family "Bacterial small subunit ribosomal RNA", at positions 761 to 1357 of the family's 1533-position model. Lineage: Bacteria; Bacillati; Bacillota; Bacilli; Caryophanales; Bacillaceae. The record is from RNAcentral.